GCAUAUCAAUAAGCGGAGGAAAAGAAACCAACCGGGAUUGCCUCAGUAACGGCGAGUGAAGCGGCAAGAGCUCAAAUUUGAAAUCUGGCCCCUCCGGGGUCCGAGUUGUAAUUUGCAGAGGAUGCUUCGGGUGCGGUCCCCGUCUAAGUGCCCUGGAACGGGCCGUCAUAGAGGGUGAGAAUCCCGUCUGGGAUGGGCGGCCGCGCCCGUGUGAAGCUCCUUCGACGAGUCGAGUUGUUUGGGAAUGCAGCUCUAAGCGGGUGGUAAAUUUCAUCUAAAGCUAAAUACUGGCCGGAGACCGAUAGCGCACAAGUAGAGUGAUCGAAAGAUGAAAAGCACUUUGAAAAGAGAGUUAAACAGCACGUGAAAUUGUUGAAAGGGAAGCGUUGUCCACCAGACUCGCCCGGGGGGGUUCAGCCGGCACCUGUGCCGGUGUACUCCUCUCCGGGCGGGCCAGCAUCGGUUUGGGCGGCUGGUGAAAGGCCCCGGGAAUGUAACACCCUUCGGGGUGCCUUAUAGCCCGGGGUGCCAUGCGGCCAGCCUGGACCGAGGCCCGCGCUUCGGCGAGGAUGCUGGCGUAAUGGUGGUCAACGGCCCGUCUUGAAACACGGACCAAGGAGUCUAACAUCUAUGCGAGUGUUCGGGUGUCAAACCCGUCCGCGCAGUGAAAGCGAACGGAGGUGGGAGCCCCCCCCGGGGCGCACCAUCGACCGAUCCUGAUGUCUUCGGAUGGAUUUGAGUAAGAGCAUAGCUGUUGGGACCCGAAAGAUGGUGAACUAUGCCUGAAUAGGGCGAAGCCAGAGGAAACUCUGGUGGAGGCUCGCAGCGGUUCUGACGUGCAAAUCGAUCGUCAAAUUUGGGUAUAGGGGCGAAAGACUAAUCGAACCAUCUGGUAGCUGGUUCCUGCG
RNAcentral lists this ribosomal RNA (908 nucleotides) under Talaromyces indigoticus. RNAcentral's name for it is "LSU rRNA". It matches the Rfam family "Eukaryotic large subunit ribosomal RNA", at positions 38 to 962 of the family's 3401-position model. The record is from RNAcentral. Lineage: Eukaryota; Fungi; Ascomycota; Eurotiomycetes; Eurotiales; Trichocomaceae.